UGGGGAAUUUUGGACAAUGGGCGAAAGCCUGAUCCAGCAAUGCCGCGUGUGUGAAGAAGGCCUUCGGGUUGUAAAGCACUUUUGUCCGGAAAGAAAUCCUUGGCUCUAAUACAGUCGGGGGAUGACGGUACCGGAAGAAUAAGCACCGGCUAACUACGUGCCAGCAGCCGCGGUAAUACGUAGGGUGCAAGCGUUAAUCGGAAUUACUGGGCGUAAAGCGUGCGCAGGCGGUUUGCUAAGACCGAUGUGAAAUCCCCGGGCUCAACCUGGGAACUGCAUUGGUGACUGGCAGGCUAGAGUAUGGCAGAGGGGGGUAGAAUUCCACGUGUAGCAGUGAAAUGCGUAGAGAUGUGGAGGAAUACCGAUGGCGAAGGCAGCCCCCUGGCCAAGUACUGACGCUCAUGCACGAAAGCGUGGGGAGCAAACNGGAUUAAUNCCCUGGUAGUCCACGCCCUAAANGAUGUCAACUAGUUGUUGGGGAUUCAUUUCCUUAGUAACGUAGCUAACGCGUGAAGUUGACCGCCUGGGGAGUACGGUCGCAAGAUUAAAAUUAAAU
RNAcentral lists this ribosomal RNA (556 nucleotides) under uncultured bacterium. RNAcentral describes it as "partial 16S ribosomal RNA". It matches the Rfam family "Bacterial small subunit ribosomal RNA", at positions 355 to 905 of the family's 1533-position model. The record is from RNAcentral.